This 541-nucleotide ribosomal RNA is filed under the name Staphylococcus sp. HMSC062C01. Its description in RNAcentral is "bacterial SSU rRNA". It matches the Rfam family "Bacterial small subunit ribosomal RNA", at positions 1000 to 1533 of the family's 1533-position model. The record is from RNAcentral. Lineage: Bacteria; Bacillati; Bacillota; Bacilli; Caryophanales; Staphylococcaceae.
CUAGAGAUAGAAGUUUCCCCUUCGGGGGACAAAGUGACAGGUGGUGCAUGGUUGUCGUCAGCUCGUGUCGUGAGAUGUUGGGUUAAGUCCCGCAACGAGCGCAACCCUUAAGCUUAGUUGCCAUCAUUAAGUUGGGCACUCUAAGUUGACUGCCGGUGACAAACCGGAGGAAGGUGGGGAUGACGUCAAAUCAUCAUGCCCCUUAUGAUUUGGGCUACACACGUGCUACAAUGGACAAUACAAAGGGCAGCGAAACCGCGAGGUCAAGCAAAUCCCAUAAAGUUGUUCUCAGUUCGGAUUGUAGUCUGCAACUCGACUACAUGAAGCUGGAAUCGCUAGUAAUCGUAGAUCAGCAUGCUACGGUGAAUACGUUCCCGGGUCUUGUACACACCGCCCGUCACACCACGAGAGUUUGUAACACCCGAAGCCGGUGGAGUAACCAUUUGGAGCUAGCCGUCGAAGGUGGGACAAAUGAUUGGGGUGAAGUCGUAACAAGGUAGCCGUAUCGGAAGGUGCGGCUGGAUCACCUCCUUUCUAAGGA